GAGGAAAGAAUGGCAGCGUCCUUACAGUUUGCUCACAGCAGCGGGUGGCAACGAUCAAUGAUGGCGAUGACUUAGGGCGUUUGGGUAGUGGCAAUGUGGGGUGUCAGUGUUAGAAAGGUUGUAGUGGGGGUUUUAAAGGUGGUGUUGUUUAUGAAAGAAAGGGUGGGGGUUUGGUGUUUCAGAGGUACAGUGGUUAUGGUGGCGUAAAAAAAAAGAUAGGAGAGGUGAACGAUGGCAUUAGGGCAAGGAAAAGGGAGCCGAUUGGUAAGGAGGGAAACGGGAAGACCGUUACGGCUCUGUGGGGUUCAAGAUCCACGGUGGCGAGGGAGAAAGGAAACGAGUGACAGUACUUAUGAAUCAGUGUCACUUGGUGUUGGCUUGGCGUAGUGGUGCGAAGAAAAAGAAAUGAAUCGGUGACUGAUCGGUGCUACGGUGGUGUUCAGCGAUGGUAGUAGUUGUGUGAUGGCGUUAAUGGAGUUAGGGUUUUUGUUGAGAAUAGAAGAAGAAGAAAGAAGGGUGAAAAAGGAGGUGUUACGGGUUUGGGGUUUGUUUUCUUUUCCUUUUUGAGUUUGGGUUUUCCUUUUCUUUCUUCUUUUUUCCUUUCUUAGUCCACAUUUGGCUGUUUGGCCCUGUCUCUUUUUUUUUUCUUUUGAGUUUAGGGAGUUAGUUUGGUUUUGGGUUUUUAUUUUUUGCUGUUUGGGCUCAUUUUAGCUUCUUCUUUUUUCCUCUUGGGCUAGUUUCAAUUUUUGGCGAGCCUACGAUACGAUCGGUGUCCGAUCUUCAAAAAAUUGACAGCUUCCACCAACGUUCCUGGAAAAUAACAUGAAAUAGAUUAAAUAAUAAUUAUUUUUUAUUUUAUUUUCAACCUAAAUUAAACUGAAAUUCAAAGUUAA
RNAcentral lists this long non-coding RNA (893 nucleotides) under Gossypium raimondii (Peruvian cotton). Its description in RNAcentral is "long non-coding RNA (GRAI_LNC004465)". Lineage: Eukaryota; Viridiplantae; Streptophyta; Magnoliopsida; Malvales; Malvaceae. The record is from RNAcentral.